CUGGACGUCUGUAAAUGUUGAUUUAAGAAUAUUUUUUCGAUGUUUAUAAAUUAGGAUUCAUUACAGUAUAUUGAAGCAUUAAGGGAGUGAAGCCACAUAUCGUUGCCUUCCUCUCAACUAUGGAAUCAACUACCAGACUCAAUGCAGCUUGACUCCAGGCAAAGACAUCACAAGCUAGCCAAGGCUCACAAGCUGUAAAGUUUCUCAAGCACCUUCAUAUACUCAAACUAUUUCCUGAGACUAAAGUGGACGAAGUUCAACCUCAGUGAUGGGUUUUAACUGUAAAAAGAAACAUAC
Long non-coding RNA from Anneissia japonica, 297 nucleotides. RefSeq lists it as uncharacterized. The transcript is spliced from 3 exons. NCBI's taxonomy places the organism in Eukaryota, Metazoa, Echinodermata, Crinoidea, Comatulida, Comatulidae. The record is from RefSeq and is a predicted model, not a curated record.